Molecule: ribosomal RNA, 266 nt
Filed under: uncultured bacterium
Lineage: Bacteria
Description: partial 16S ribosomal RNA
Rfam family: Bacterial small subunit ribosomal RNA
Source: RNAcentral
AGCGAACGCUGGCGGCAGGCCUAACACAUGCAAGUCGAGCGCCCCGCAAGGGGAGCGGCAGACGGGAGAGUAACACGUGGGAACGUACCCUUUGGUUCGGAACAACCCAGGGAAACUUGGGCUAAUACCGAAUAAGCCCUUACGGGGAAAGAUUUAUCGCCGAAGGAUCGGCCCGCGUCUGAUUAGCUAGUUGGUGAGGUAACGGCUCACCAAGGCGACGAUCAGUAGCUGGUCUGAGAGGAUGAUCAGCCUCACUGGGACUGAGA